RNAcentral lists this ribosomal RNA (495 nucleotides) under uncultured bacterium. Its description in RNAcentral is "partial 16S ribosomal RNA". It matches the Rfam family "Bacterial small subunit ribosomal RNA", at positions 28 to 507 of the family's 1533-position model. The record is from RNAcentral.
GACGAACGCUGGCGGCGUGCCUAAUACAUGCCAGUAGAACGAAGAAGGGGGAGCUUGCUUCUCUGGACGAGUUGCGCACGGGUGAGUAACACGUAGGUAACCUGCCUGUUAGCGGGGGAUAACUAUUGGAAACGAUAGCUAAUACCGCAUAAUAGUAGAUGUUGCAUGACAUUUGCUUAAAAGGUGCAAUUUCAUCACUACCAGAUGGACCUGCGUUGUAUUAGUUAGUUGGUGGGGUAACGGCUCACCAACGCGGCGAUACAUAGGCGACCUGGGAGGGGGGUCGGCCCACACUGGACCUGGACCCGGCCCCGGCUCCCUCGGGAAGCAGCAGUAAGGAAUCUUCGGCAAUUGGCCGAAGUCUUGACGGACCACGGCGCGGUGGUGGAGGAGGUUUUCGGAUCGUAAAGCUUUGUUGUAAGGGGAGAACGAGUGUGGGAGUGGAAAGUUCACGCUGUGACGGUAUCUUACCAGAAAGGGACGGCUAACUACGUG